RNAcentral lists this ribosomal RNA (464 nucleotides) under uncultured actinomycete. Its description in RNAcentral is "bacterial SSU rRNA". It matches the Rfam family "Bacterial small subunit ribosomal RNA", at positions 252 to 732 of the family's 1533-position model. The record is from RNAcentral. Lineage: Bacteria; Bacillati; Actinomycetota; Actinomycetes; Actinomycetales.
GUGGGGUAGUGGCCUACCAAGGCGACGACGGGUAGCCGGCCUGAGAGGGCGACCGGCCACACUGGGACUGAGACACGGCCCAGACUCCUACGGGAGGCAGCAGUGGGGAAUAUUGCACAAUGGGGGAAACCCUGAUGCAGCGACGCCGCGUGCGGGAUGACGGCCUUCGGGUUGUAAACCGCUUUCAGCACCGACGAAUCAAGACGGUAGGUGCAGAAGAAGCGCCGGCUAACUACGUGCUAGCAGCCGCGGUAAUACGUAGGGCGCAAGCGUUGUCCGGAAUUAUUGGGCGUAAAGAGCUCGUAGGCGGCUUGUCGCGUCGGGUGUGAAAGCUCACGGCUUAACCGUGAGUCUGCAUCCGAUACGGGCAGGCUAGAGGCAGGUAGGGGAGAACGGAAUUCCCGGUGUAGCGGUGAAAUGCGCAGAUAUCGGGAGGAACACCGGUGGCGAAGGCGGUUCUCUGG